This is a long non-coding RNA of Gasterosteus aculeatus aculeatus (three-spined stickleback), 1337 nucleotides long. The record is from Ensembl. Lineage: Eukaryota; Metazoa; Chordata; Actinopteri; Perciformes; Gasterosteidae.
GAGACCCGGCAGCAAGGGCUCGGCUCACUCGACUUUAUUCUAACUGUUACCAGAGGGGGACAGCUGCGGCGGGUCGCUAGAAAGGUCUCGGGUUAAAAGCAAUGAGAUUACAGGGAUCCAGCGCUGACAUCCUGUCCCAUCGAUCCGUCUGUCUUAAGAGGCAGGGCACUUUUUCUCACCUUGCACUUUAAUUGGUGAUCAUAUAUAUACACACACACACACACACACACACACACACACACACACACACACACAUGCGUCAAGGUGCUCUGCAGAGUUUAUAUAUGAAACCACAAUGUUAUCCACACAAUGUGAUCUGUUUAAGGAGGUGUUAAAGGCUCUACGGAGGGAGGCUUGCACAUUUAUUUUGAACAUAUUGAAUAUGGGGACACACACACAGACGUACAUUUAGAUGCCGCACAUAUCACAGACUUUGAACUGCUCACGUCCAUAGAGAAAUCAUCAUCAUCAAGAGUCUGCAUUUGUUCAUCAUAGUGUGUCCCACCUGAGAGGGUCUGCUUAUGACCCUUUCCACAGCUUGUUAAUGAGGCAGCCUGGUUUAUUUAUGUUUUUAUUUAUUCAUCGAUUUUGAAGGUGUUGCACUAAAUGUAGCAAAACAGACGGAAAUGAUCCCAAAUGCUAACAUGGAGUAAAGAUACAGGAAGAUUUUUAUUUUAUAUUUUUAGAUCUGUUUUAAAGAGGUUUGUUUUUUUAUUGGCAUUAAAUUCCUCAAUGGCCGAGGUAGAGGCAUCGGGUUAAGGGUUGUUCCUCUGACAAAAGUCAGCCUUUAAACUGUAAAACAAAACAAUCAUAAUAAAGUAAGACUACGAACAGACACUACUAAAUACUAAUGUCUGACUGUUAAUUAUUCUUCUGAUUCCCGUAUUUAAUUCAGCAUUGUUGCAAAGCGUUUGCCGUGCAGGAACACUUGGUGUGGGUUUUUGUGAGUGACAGCCAGUAGAUGAACCAGCUCUCUCGCCAUUUGUUGCUAUGGCAGCCAUGUGAUGAACUUACAUAGUUUACAGGUGCUGCUGGAAUGAAAUAAAGCUCUGAUGCUCCAGAAAACAAACAAACAAAACGUUAUUUUGGUGUGUUCUGUGUGUCUCAUGCAUCGCGAGCGGUGUUAUAUCUAGUGACUAAAAUGCAUCACAAGCACGCAAAACAACAACAAUGUAUUGCCACAUACAACCAGAUUAACAUAUUGACCUAGCAGGACGGAUGUUUGUUUUUCAUAUUCACAUCAUACACUUAAUAUCAAGACUUUAAAAUAAGCUGAACAUCUUUUUACAUUUGUCCAAAAAGUUUACAUGUUUUUCACUGCUGUUGCUAAAAUAUGA